AACGAACGCUGGCGGCAGGCUUAACACAUGCAAGUCGAACGCCCCGCAAGGGGAGUGGCGCACGGGUGAGUAACGCGUGGAUAUCUGCUUUUUGGUUCGGAAUAACCCCGGGAAACUGGGGCUAAUACCGGAUGGUUCCUACGGGAUAAAGAUUUAUCGCCAAAAGAUGAGUCCGCGUACGAUUAGCUAGUUGGUGAGGUAAUGGCUCACCAAGGCGACGAUCGUUAGCUGGUCUGAGAGGACGAUCAGCCACCCUGGGACUGAGACACGGCCCAGACUCCUACGGGAGGCAGCAGUGGGGAAUAUUGGACAAUGGGGGCAACCCUGAUCCAGCCAUGCCGCGUGAGUGAUGAAGGCCUUCGGGUUGUAAAGCUCUUUUGGCGGGGACGAUGAUGACGGUACCCGCAGAAUAAGCCCCGGCUAACUUCGUG
Molecule: ribosomal RNA, 431 nt
Filed under: uncultured bacterium
Lineage: Bacteria
Description: partial 16S ribosomal RNA
Rfam family: Bacterial small subunit ribosomal RNA
Source: RNAcentral